Dipodomys ordii (Ord's kangaroo rat) is the source of this 85-nucleotide microRNA precursor. The record is from Ensembl. Lineage: Eukaryota; Metazoa; Chordata; Mammalia; Rodentia; Heteromyidae.
GCUAAGCCCUUACAACUGUUUGCAGAGGAAACUGAGACUUCGUAACUAUGUCCCAGUCUCAUCUGCAAAGAAGUAAGUGCUUUGC